GACGAACGCUGGCGGCGUGCUUAACACAUGCAAGUCGAACGGAAAGGCCCUGCUUUUGUGGGGUGCUCGAGUGGCGAACGGGUGAGUAACACGUGAGUAACCUGCCCUUGACUUUGGGAUAACUUCAGGAAACUGGGGCUAAUACCGGAUAGGAGCUCCUGCUGCAUGGUGGGGGUUGGAAAGUUUCGGCGGUUGGGGAUGGACUCGCGGCUUAUCAGCUUGUUGGUGGGGUAGUGGCUUACCAAGGCUUUGACGGGUAGCCGGCCUGAGAGGGUGACCGGCCACAUUGGGACUGCGAUACGGCCCAGACUCCUACGGGAGGCAGCAGUGGGGAAUAUUGCAGAAUGGGCGGAAGCCUGAUGCAGCAACGCCGCGUGCGGGAUGACGGCCUUCGGGUUGUAAACCGCUUUCGACUGUGACGAAGCGUGAGUGACGGUAAUGGGUAAAGAAGCACCGGCUAACUACGUG
This 468-nucleotide ribosomal RNA is filed under the name uncultured bacterium. Its description in RNAcentral is "partial 16S ribosomal RNA". It matches the Rfam family "Bacterial small subunit ribosomal RNA", at positions 28 to 507 of the family's 1533-position model. The record is from RNAcentral.